This 253-nucleotide ribosomal RNA is filed under the name uncultured bacterium. RNAcentral describes it as "partial 16S ribosomal RNA". It matches the Rfam family "Bacterial small subunit ribosomal RNA", at positions 524 to 776 of the family's 1533-position model. The record is from RNAcentral.
GACGGAGGGGGCAAGCGUUGUUCGGAAUUACUGGGCGUAAAGGGCUCGUAGGUGGCCAACUAAGUCAGACGUGAAAUCCCUCAGCUUAACUGGGGAACUGCGUCUGAUACUGGAUGGCUUGAGUUUGGGAGAGGGACGCGGAAUUCCAGGUGUAGCGGUGAAAUGCGUAGAUAUCUGGAGGAACACCGGUGGCGAAGGCGGCGUCCUGGACCAACACUGACACUGAUGAGCGAAAGCCAGGGGAGCAAACGGG